GAAACAGUGGCUAAGACUGGUAGGAAGAUAAAAGGCAUCUUUUAUCUUUUAAAAGACCUAGUAAUAGGUAUGCUUUAGGAGGGGCUUGCGCCAUAUUAGUUAGUUGGUAGGGUAAUGGCCUACCAAGACGAUGAUGUGUAGCUGGACUGAGAGGUUGAACAGCCACAUUGGGACUGAGACACGGCCCAAACUCCUACGGGAGGCAGCAGUAGGGAAUUUUCGGCAAUGGAGGAAACUCUGACCGAGCAACGCCGCGUGAAUGACGAAGUACUUCGGUAUGUAAAGUUCUUUUAUCAAGGAAGAAAAGCAAAUGGCGAACCAUUUGUUUGCCGGUACUUGAUGAAUAAGCCCCGGCUAAUUAUGUGCCAGCAGCCGCGGUAAGACAUAAGGGGCAAGUGUUAUCCGGAAUUAUUGGGCGUAAAGGGUGCGUAGGCGGUCUAGUAAGUCAGUGGUGUAAUGGCAACGCUUAACGUUGUCCGGCUAUUGAAACUGCUAAACUUGAGUUAGAUAGAGGCGAGUGGAAUUCCAUGUGUAGCGGUAAAAUGCGUAAAUAUAUGGAGGAACACCAGAGGCGUAGGCGGCUCGCUGGGUCUUAACUGACGCUGAGGCACGAAAGCGUGGGGAGCAAACAGGAUUAGAUACCCUGGUAGUCCACGCCGUAAACGAUGAGUACUAAGUGUCGGGUUAAACCGGUACUGAAGUUAACACAUUAAGUACUCCGCCUGAGUAGUACGUACGCAAGUAUGAAACUUAAAGGAAUUGACGGGACUCCGCACAAGCGGUGGAUCAUGUUGUUUAAUUCGAAGAUACCCGAAAAACCUUACCAGGUCUUGACAUGUUUUUGCAAAAUGAUAGUAAUAUCGUGGAGGUUACCAGAAACACAGGUGGUGCAUGGUUGUCGUCAGCUCGUGUCGUGAGAUGUUAGGUUAAGUCCUAAAACGAGCGAAACCCUUAUCGUUAGUUGCCAGCACGUUAUGGUGGGGACUUUAACGAGACUGCCAAUGAUAAAUUGGAGGAAGGUGAGGAUCACGUCAAAUCAGCAUGCCCCUUAUGACCUGGGCUACAAACGUGAUACAAUGGCUGUUACAAAGGGUAGCUGAAACGCAAGUUCUUGGCCAAUCCCCAAAAACAGUCCCAGUCCGGAUUGAAGUCUGCAACUCGACUUCAUGAAGUUGGAAUCGCUAGUAAUCGCGAAUCAGCAUGUCGCGGUGAAUACGUUCUCGGGGUUUGUACACACCGCCCGUCA
Molecule: ribosomal RNA, 1246 nt
Filed under: Alfalfa witches'-broom phytoplasma
Lineage: Bacteria; Bacillati; Mycoplasmatota; Mollicutes; Acholeplasmatales; Acholeplasmataceae
Description: bacterial SSU rRNA
Rfam family: Bacterial small subunit ribosomal RNA
Source: RNAcentral